AUAACAGCGAGUUUGAUGGUGGCUCUGAUUGAAUGCUAUUCAAAUGCUUGACACAUGCUAAUCGAACGCCUAGUUUAUUUAUAAUAAAAAACUAGAAAGUGGUGUACAGGUGAGGAAAGGGUAUGUUUACUGCCUUAGAGCAAGGAGAAAUACCUUAUAAAAACAAAGAAAUUAUUAAAUAAAUAAUUUUGCUUUAAGAUGUUAUCUUAAUACCUCGGGUAAGUAGAGUAGUAGUUAAAGUAAUGGUUUAACUAGCUUUAUCUCGUAGUCGAGUCUGAAAGGUCCUUCGACCACAUUGGAACUGAGACAAGUUCAAUGCGAUUUUUUUUUGCACUGCAGUGGGGAAUAUUGGUCAAUAGCCUAACGGCUGAACCAGCGAUUUGAAGGAAUGAAGAUCUACUUUGAAAUAUAAGAAGACUAAAAUUCUGGUUAGUAAAAUGAUAAUGACAAUUUUCUAUCUAAAUGUCUUGACUAAUUCACGUGCCAGCAGUCGCGGUAAUACGUGAGAGACCAGCGUUAUUCAUAUUUAAUUGGUUUAAAGGGUUACUAGACGGUAAUUUUUGCCUUUGAAUGGGGACAGAGUUACUAGAGUUUUAUGUGAAAAGUAUAUUUAGAACUCAUGGUGUAGAACUGAUAAUUUAAAAUACUAUGGGGAAUGAUAAAGGCGAAGGCAAACUUUUAUGUAAAAACUGACGUUGAGGAACGAAGGCAAGGACAGUGAAUAGGAUUAGAACCCUAGUAAUCCUAGCAGAAAAUGAUGAGUGCCAUAGGUUGUAUUAAAUUUAAAUCGCCUAUAAAUGAAAAUGUAAGCAUUCCACCUCAAGAGUAAUGUGGCAACACAGAAACUGUAACCAUUAGACCAACUCCGAAACUAGUAGUGAAGUGUGUUAUUUAAUUCGAUGAUCCACGAAAAAUCUUACCACAAUUUGAAUAUUUAGUGACAAGAAAUUAAUUUAAUUUUUGUAAAAAAAAAUAAUGUUUUUUUACUUCUUUUUACAAGUGUUGCACGGCUGUCUACAGUUGUUGCCGCGAGGCUUUGGUUGGCUCCAACAAGUGACGUACACCCUAAUUUUAUUUAAAACUAAUUUCAUUUUAUGAAAUAAAUUAUAAAGUUAUUCAUCUUGACAUGAGAUGUAUUUAUGGGAUAAAGACAAGUCCUCAUGACCUUAAUAUUGUGGGCUAUAGACUUGCCACAUUAGCUAAAACAAAGGGAUGCUAAAAUGUGAAUAUUCGCUAAUCCCUAAACAGGAUAUAAUAUGGAUUGUAUGUCUGAAACUCGACUACAUGAAUAAGGAAUUACUAGUAAUCGUGCAUCACCAUGGCACGGUGAAACUUAUCUCGGAUAGGUACUAACUACUCGUCAAGCACUGAAAGGAGCACACGCAAUAAGUUGAGUUUAGUUUAAAUCAUAAUAUAGUAAUUAGACUAUUAAGAUGGUUUAGGAUAGAUUUUCGAAUGUAUGGCUGCAAUUGGUGUUAAGUCGAAAUACGGUUGUUGUAGAGGAAUCUGCAGCGGACUUAUAAAAAAAUUAACAAUACCCCCUAUAAUUUAAUACCCCCUAUAGUUCAAAACUUCAACUUUAUAUAGGUAAAAAGUUCUGGUUCAAAUCCGGAAUAAAGUAAUGUUUUUUACUAGUAACAUAUUUUUAUUGAAUAUCAAUGCGGGCACUUUGAGCCCAGAAAGAAAAUAAUUAAGGGUAGUCACUCUUAUACUGCUAUAUUAUGUGGUUCUAUGUUAUGACAGCUUCUAUAUUAGAAUAUUCGACACAGUAAUAGGCAUAAAUGAUGAUUUAUUCCAUUCAGCGUCCAUAACGUAUAGUUUUGCCCUUUUAGUAGGAGCUAUUAUGUUACAAUUAGUUGUAUAUUACCCCAGACGUUUACAAGAACCAAUGGGACUGACAUUAAAUAAAAUAUCUUAUUUAGUUUUAAUCAAUAUAUUAAUUGUUCUUAUUUUACUUGUUUUACUUUUACUUGUGGCUUUAUUCUUAUUCUUUUUCUUUUUCUUCUAUACUUGCUACGAUGAUUGCUUACUUUAUUGCCUUUCGUUUGUCCCUCUAAAAAUAUAUAAUAAUGCAGAUCUUGAUAAAAUUAAGAUUCUUCAAGAAAAUAGGGAUAAGGCCGGCGUAUAUCUUUGACAAAAUUUAAUAAAUGAAAAAAAAUAUAUAGGCUCUUCUGUGAAUCUCUAUAAUAGAAUUUUAGUAUACUAUGCACCAACAUUAAUGAAAUCUGAAUUAAAGAGAGGUAGAAGUCUUAUUUAUAACUCCAUCUUAAAGUAUGGUCACGAAAACUUUGCUUUUUCAAUUCUUGAGUAUUGUGAGCCGGGAUUAUGUCUUGAGAGGGAAGAUUAUUUCCUACAACUUCUUAAGCCAGAAUACAAUAUCAGUAAGAAAGCUGCAGCCCCUUUUUUAGGUCGUCAACACUCAGAGGAAACUCGAAAACAAAUAUCUGAUAAUAAUAAGGGAGUAAACAAUUUCAUGUUUGGAAAAACUCAUAGCGAGGAAGUGAGGAAUAAGAUCUCAGCUUCUCAACCCAAUCGUCAAAUAAUAAAAGUUACAGAUAUUGAAACUGGUCUUAUAAAUACUUAUUUUUCUAUUAGUGCAGCAGCAAGAGCCUUAAAUAUUUCACAGCAGGCAAUUUCUUACUAUUUAAAAAAUAAUCAACAAAAACCUUAUAAAAAAAGGUAUAUUUUCAGCCAGAUAUAUUAGUAAUUUUCAAAGCUCCUAUUCUUCCAUUCCCCAUUUUCCAAAAGCAAGGUUCUCCUCUAUAGCUCAUUCUACUCUUUACUUUGGUUUCUUUGGUUUCCCUUUUUUGGUAAAAAAGGGGGGUUUAAUAAAAAGGUUAAACCUAAACCAUUCAAUUUUUAGUAUACAAUAUAAAUGAAUGCCCCAAGUUGUAAAUUUAAACAUGACAAAGUAUAAAUUGAAGCGAAUCCAUUUUUAAUGUAAUGGAAUACGAAGAUAUAGUCGGACCUGGUUUGAAAGAAUCAAUCCUUGCAAGAGGAGGAGAAUCAAUUAUAAUAAUAAAUGAUUUAUGGAAAAGGGCGCCUCAAUUAAUACGAUAACCGUAUGAAAAGACUUGACUUAUGAUUUUUAUAAGAGAAGUAAGCCCCUAAUUCGACGGUUGUUGUAGAGGAAUCUGCAGCGGACUUAUAAUAAAA
Molecule: ribosomal RNA, 3156 nt
Filed under: Tuber umbilicatum
Lineage: Eukaryota; Fungi; Ascomycota; Pezizomycetes; Pezizales; Tuberaceae
Description: SSU rRNA
Rfam family: Bacterial small subunit ribosomal RNA (bases 1-1528)
Source: RNAcentral